Pelobates cultripes (western spadefoot toad) is the source of this 81-nucleotide non-coding RNA. NCBI's taxonomy places the organism in Eukaryota, Metazoa, Chordata, Amphibia, Anura, Pelobatidae. The record is from the annotation of a GenBank genome assembly.
UGAUACACUUUGACAGACACACAUUAUUACUCAGACACAGUGUGUGUCUGAGUAAUAAUGUGUGUCUGUCAAAGUGUAUCA